AACUUUUUUGCUGGAAGACGUAAUCUCUCCUGCCUCUUUAAUCUCAAAUAUUUAUUAUGGUCUAAUAAAUAAAGAAUCUCACCAAAAACUAAAUACCCAAACCCCACAUUUGCACGUCUCUCUCUCUCUCUCUCUCUCUCUCUCUCUCUCUCAGUUUUUGCCUUCUUCGUUGGGAGAAAAGCUUUGCUCCAGGGACAGAAUACAAGGAGAAAAUUUGAUGCAACACCAACUUGCUUCAACCUCCUCCCUCUUUGGGGUUGGUUCUAGAAAUUGAUGGAUUACCUGUGCAUUGACAUAUGGAAUUACAGUUUAUGAAUUGUCUUUGCUGGGCUGUCCAAAAUGAGUGUUUCUUCAAAUGGCCUCAACACCCUGGUUGUACUCUGCUCCCAUGUGGUCCUAUGUAUGUUUGGUUGUUAGUUUUGGGUUUUUGCCCACGGGUGGCUUUUAUGAAAGUUCAUUUUUCUGAUUUUGCUGUGGUUGUCACUGGGAAGAAAGAGCUGCUUGAGUUUACAGCCCAACCUUUUUUAUUACUAUGAUUUCACCUAUGGAAGGUGAUCUGCUGUAGAAGAUUAUUUGAUGAGGAAGAUUUCAUUCGUCUACGUGUUAUAUGUGUAUGAAAAACAAAAAUUGUUUA
Prunus persica (peach) is the source of this 634-nucleotide long non-coding RNA. RefSeq lists it as uncharacterized. Lineage: Eukaryota; Viridiplantae; Streptophyta; Magnoliopsida; Rosales; Rosaceae. The record is from RefSeq and is a predicted model, not a curated record. The transcript is spliced from 2 exons.